This 392-nucleotide ribosomal RNA is filed under the name uncultured bacterium. RNAcentral describes it as "partial 16S ribosomal RNA". It matches the Rfam family "Bacterial small subunit ribosomal RNA", at positions 523 to 918 of the family's 1533-position model. The record is from RNAcentral.
AUACAGAGGAUCCGAGCGUUAUCCGGAUUUAUUGGGUUUAAAGGGUGCGCAGGCGGCCAUUUAAGUCAGCGGUUAAAUCGUGGGGCUCAACCCCAUUCUGCCGUUGAUACUGGGUGGCUUGAUUGCGGUCGAGGUUGGCGGAAUUCGUUGUGUAGCGGUGAAAUGCAUAGAUAUGACGAAGAACACCGAUUGCGUAGGCAGCUGACCAGACCGCAAAUGACGCUCAUGCACGAAAGUGCGGGGAUCGAACAGGAUUAGAUACCCUGGUAGUCCGCACAGUAAACGAUGAAUACUUGUUUUCGGCGAUAUAAUGUCGGAGGCAAAGCGAAAGCGAUAAGUAUUCCACCUGGGGAGUACGCCGGCAACGGUGAAACUCAAAGGAAUUGACGGGG